GGUUGGCUAGCUCAGUUGGUUAGAGCAUUCGCUUAACAUUUAUGCUUCGCGAAAGGUCCGCGGUUCGACCCCGUGGUCGAUCA
RNAcentral lists this transfer RNA (83 nucleotides) under Saitozyma sp. JCM 24511. Its description in RNAcentral is "tRNA-Val". Lineage: Eukaryota; Fungi; Basidiomycota; Tremellomycetes; Tremellales; Trimorphomycetaceae. The record is from RNAcentral.